RNAcentral lists this ribosomal RNA (261 nucleotides) under uncultured archaeon. Its description in RNAcentral is "partial 16S ribosomal RNA". It matches the Rfam family "Archaeal small subunit ribosomal RNA", at positions 748 to 1008 of the family's 1478-position model. The record is from RNAcentral.
CAGCCGUAAACAAUGUGCGUUAGGUGUGUUGGUAACCACGCGUUACUGAUGCGCCGAAGAGAAAUCGUGAAACGCACCACCUGGGAAGUACGGUCGCAAGGCUGAAACUUAAAGGAAUUGGCGGGGGAGCACCACAACAGGUGGAGCCUGCGGUUUAAUUGGAUUCAACGCCGGACAUCUCACCGGAUAAGACAGCUGAAUGAUUGUCAAUCUGAAGGUUUUACAUGACUAGCUGAGAGGAGGUGCAUGGCGUCAGUGACU